RNAcentral lists this ribosomal RNA (103 nucleotides) under Pteropus alecto (black flying fox). Lineage: Eukaryota; Metazoa; Chordata; Mammalia; Chiroptera; Pteropodidae. The record is from RNAcentral.
GCCUACGACUAUGCCACCCUAAACAAGACCGAUGUCUGAUCUUGGAAGAUAAGCAGGGUCGGGACUGGUUAGUACUUGGAUGGGAGACCAGGUACUGCAGGCA